Molecule: long non-coding RNA, 5769 nt
Filed under: Sus scrofa (pig)
Lineage: Eukaryota; Metazoa; Chordata; Mammalia; Artiodactyla; Suidae
Description: lncRNA (ENSSSCG00000060698.1)
Source: RNAcentral
GCAUGGAAGUUCCCAGGCUAGGGAUCCAAUCGGAGCUACGGCUGCCAGCCUACACCACAGCCACAGCACCUCGGGAUUGGAGCCACGUCUGCAAACUACCCCACAGCUCAUGGCAAUGCUGGAUCCCUAACCCACUGAGCAAGGCCAGGGAUCAAACCCUCAUCCUCAUGGAUACUAGUCAGAUUCAUUUCCGCUUCACCACGAUGGGAACUCCUUUAUUUUAGACAGAGCUUCAAGACUCGCUAUUAUCCUGCUUCUUUGCACUAUCGAAACUCAAUAUAUAAAUGAAGUUGUUUCCAGAAAUGUCGUUCCAGUGACAGUCCAGGAACUGUGGAUAAUUGUUUAUAGGCUGUGUGUAAUGGGCAGGACAGGAAGUGUUGGUAUGUAAGCAGAGGCUUCAGACAAGGAGUCCUGGAGGCAGUGCAGGAGCCUCAAAUCUCCAUGAGUUGUAACAUACCCUUGUCCUACCAGCAUCCAUUCAUUUAGAGGGUCUCAGCAGCCUGCAAUCACUAGCUCAUGCAAAGCCAGCACUGAAAGUAAGUUAAGCUCUGUUUGCAAGUUCAGAGACAAAAGGAGACCUCAGGAAUCCUAUUUAUAGGAAAGUAUUGCAUAAACAGAGUGGAGGUAUGCUUCAAUCAAGACAAAGGCUAAAUAAUGUUCUAUUGUAUAUAUAUAUGUACCAUAUCUUCUUUAUCCAUUCAUCUGCUGAUGGACAUUUAGGUUGCUUCCAUGUCUUUACUUAUUUACUUACUGUAAACAGUGCUGCAAUGAGCAUUGGAGUGCAUGUAUUUUUUCAAAUUAUAGUUUUCUAUGCAUAUACACCCGAGCGGUAUUGCUAAAUCAUAUGGUAGCUCUAUUUUUAGUUUGUUAAGGAACCUCCAUACUGUUCUCCAUAGUGGCUGUACCAAUUUACAUUCCCACCAACAGUGUAAGGUUCCUUUUUCUCUAAAACUCUCUCCAGCAUUUAUUAUCUGCAGACUUUUUGAUAAUGGCCAUUUUGACCGGUGUGAGGUAAUACUUCAUUUUGAUUUUGAUUUGUAUUUCUCUAAUAAUUAGUGAUGAGCAUCUUUUCAUGUGCCUGUUGGCUAUCUGUAUGUCUUCUUUGGUGAAAUGUCUAUUUAGAUCCUCUGCCCAUUUUUUGAUUGUGUUGUUUUUGUUUGUUUGAUAUUGAGCUAUAUGUAUAUUUUGGAGAUUAAUCCCUUGUGGGUUUCUAUUUGCAGCAACACGGAUGGACCUAGAGAUAUCAUGCUAAGUGAAGUAAUCCAGAGAAAGACAAACAUCAUAUGAUGUCAAUUGUAAGUGGGAUGAUAUAGAUAUAUAUAUAUAAACAUAAUAUAAACAAUAUAUUAUACACACACACACACACAAACUCAUUUCCAAAACAGAGGGAGACUCACAGAUACCGAACACGAAUUUAAGUUUACAAAAGGGGAAAGGGGGUAGGGGAAGGGAUAAGUUAGGAUGUUGGUAUUAAUAUAUUCACACUACUGUAAGUAAAAUAGAUAACCAAUGAGGAUCUACUAUAUAGCACAGGGACCUAUAUUCAAUAAUUUGUAAUAAUCUAUAAGGGGAAAGAGUCUAAAACAGAGUGUGUAUGUUUGUGUGUGUAUAUAUAUAUGCAUAUAUAUAUACACACACACACAUAUAUAUGUCUGAAUCAAAACUAACAUGAUAUUGUAAAUCAACACACUUCAAUUCUAUUUAUUUAUUUAUUUAUUUAUUUGCUUUUUAUGGCCACACCCACAGCAUAUGGAAGUUCCCAGGCUGGGAGUCUAACUGGAGCUGCAGCUGCCAGCCUACACCACAACCACAGCAACCUUGCGGGAUCCGAGCCACGGCUGUGACCUACACCACAGCUCGCAGCAAUGCUGGAUCCUUAACAAGUGAGCAAGGGUAGGGAUCAAACCCAUGUCCUCAUGGAUACCAGUCAGGUUCAUUACCUCUGAGUCACAAAAGAAACUCCUUGUGGAAAGAAAAAAAAAAGAAAAAAGUUAAAGUUGAAACAUUCUCUCCAUUGCUUACUGAAGAUCUUUUAUGAUGAAAUUAAUAUUUAUAAAAUCAAUGUUUCCUAGAGGAAAGUGCUCUAAAAAUAAAAACUUAAUGCAAAGAAUGAAUUUAAAAGUCUCUAUGCGCUCCAGUCCUUGACCUAUAUCUCUAUUAUAGCACUCAUCACCCACAGCUUGGAAUGAUGAUUAAUGCUUUGAUUCAACUUCACCAUUAAACUGUAAGCUGGUUGGAGACAGGACAUUUUGUUUUUCUGCACACCACACCCAGAAUAUCUCAUUGAUGGGCACACGAGUUGUGCUCAAUGUAUAUCUGCUACUCUGUUGACUGUAAGCUACAUGAAGGUAGCAUCAUGUCUUAUUCUCCACUAGAACCCAUUGCCAACGCAGGGCCAGGCACCAAGUAGGUGCUGUAUAAAUAUUUAUAUGGAUAAGUGAAUAAAUGCCAAGUUGGUUCCCAAGCAACUUCCUUCAGUCCACUCUGAACAAUUCCUCUUUGCUAAAUUCAGCAGGUUCACACAUUUAACAUGUUUUCAUGAAGCCUGGCUCCAGAGAUCCUCUCCAGUAAGGCUUCUCCAUCACGAGUGAGGAAAAAUUCUCAUUCCUGCAGUGGGGCUAAUUUUUAUCCAUUGCUUCAUUUUAUUUUAUUUUUUUCCUUUUCACAACCAUACUUGACAGCAUAUGGAGGUUCCACGCCUAGGGGCUGAAACACAACUUCAGCUGCCAGCCUAAACCACAGCCAUGACAACACCAGAUCCCAGUCGCAUCUACAACCUAUGCCACAACCUACAGUAAUGCUAAAUCCUUAACCCACUGAGUGAGGCUAGGGAUUGAACUGGCAUCCUCACAGACACAACAUUGGGCCUUUAAUCCACUGAGCCACAAUGGGAAUUCUCAUUUCUUAAUUUUAAAAUCUUGAUCCAAGCUAAUGCUUUCUUAUUUUAAGUAAAUAAAAGACAGAAAUACUUAACAUAAAAGGGAAAAUUCUUGCUUCAUCCAUAUCCCCAUCCUAUUCUUUGCAGCUACCUCUAAUAUAUACAAAGUUAGUGGCAAAAAAAUUCUAUUUUGCAUAAUUCAACCAUAACUUGCUUAUAAUACUGAGUUUUUUCCGCCUCGGUGUAGAGGGAGUAAUGGAUUCUCCAUUCAAAGCCCCACUGGAAAGGAGGCAGUAAAUGCCCUAUUGGACAGUCAAAUGUAUAUGCCCGUCAAUGCUCUGGCCAGAAUAUUUUGCAAGAUAAACUAAGAUAAAGUACAGUUAACAACACAAUGGUUGCUGUUAAGUACCCAUUUACCACAGUCUUUCACAGGACCACUAAUGGUCUAAAUUUGCAUGAGAGCAGCUGCAGGAUCUCUCCCUCCUGGAUUCUUUGUAUUUCUGGCAAUAAAACUGGCUCACUCAGAUGGGCCUUUCUCUUCAGGUGGCCUCAGCAAUCUCCUCAACUGAGGUACCAAAUAAAGGUUCCUUCCUAGCUUGCGGCAUCAUCUCCCAGAAACCAAGGCCCCUUGGUGCCCACUGGGACCCAUAAGCAUCUGUAGGGAAAAGAAAGAGCAGCAUCUCCUUUCUCUGCUGUGACUGGAGACUUUUGCUUAUAUCCCUGAGUCUCUCAACGGCCCUGGUCAUGUCCAGGCAAAAUCAUCUUAGAGUAAGCAGGAUCUUGAUGUCUUCUCUGUGCAGGACUUGCCGUUUUUGUGCUCAGGCCUCUUUCAUUCUGAAAGUGGUUCAGAUGGUUCCCUGCCUUGGUCCUCCUGCUCCUGUAAACCAGCAUCUCUCUCCUUUCUGGUGUUUAUUGGGCUAAGCAUGAAGAUUCAGAAUGAUUCCUCUAAAUCACUUUUGGUGUUUCUGCAUUGCGAUUAUGAAUUUGAAACUCAAUACCUGUUGUUGCUUGUGUGGGUGUGUUUGUGUGUGCAUGUGCAUGUGCGUGCAACUGGGGCCAUGAACUUUAUAUGUUUGCAUAAUGCUGAUCACACUGACUAUUAACUGGGUGCCUAUAAUCAAUCAAAUUCUAAAACACAUGAAUUCUCUUCUAGUCAGCAAUACUUUCUUCUUAAGAUUUCAGGCUAUGACAGGCACAGCGUCUGGAGAUGAUAAACUGUAUGUGAGUCUGUCUCUGGAAUAUCACUAUUUCAGGGUCUGCUAACAAUACUUGCCAAGUUAGAUGGGGUAGGGUGGAGAGUGGAAGCAAGUUGUACAUUAUCCUAAUAGAUUAAGAAAAUAUAAUCCCAUUUGGAUCAUUUCCUGGGCCUCCAUCCAAACCAUGAGAUAGCUUUGCUAAUCAUUAAAAUGUACAGGGAAAGGGUGGGCUUUUUUCAUAACUAUAUUGCAUUUCUAAAGGGCACUGUAUUCAUUUCUUUAUGAGUAUAAUUUAAUCAGAAAAAAAUAAUUGAUUCAAAGGAUGAUUAUUCUACAAACUUGCCAUUGUUUUAGACUGCAAUAGCAACUCUCAUUCCAUUUCAGAUUUUUAGUUUAUACAUUUACAUUAAUGAAUAAUUAUUUUUAGGAAAUAACUUUAAAUAUUUUCAGUUGCUUUUUACUAAUACAGAAAAUUUUGGUUACCCUGCAGUUAGGGUCAGGCCCAGAAAGCAAGGGCAACCAGGAGUAACUGAGGUUUGGGAAAACUAGAAAUGUAACUUAAAGUCAAAUGAACACUUUAUACAUGCCCUGGGUCAAUAGAAGAUAAACUGAUUAUCCAUUAACAUGACAUUAAUUUAUCAUGUGUGCCCAUUAAACAAUAAUAACAAUAUGAGGGUUAUCCACCAGGAUGCCCUUUGGCUUCUACAUUAUUUUCAUUUCUUAUUUAUGUGUUAACCAGUCGUGGGGUCAAUGACAAAUAGAUUUGUUGGUUCUGUUACCAAUGUGGUAUGGAGAUUGUUGCAACUGCAGCUCAUGAUCAGAAAAUCCACGCUUUUCAGGAAACACAAUUCAUAAGACAUAAAUUUUCGUAGUUCAGUUUCUAGUUAUCCCCUUCAUUUUGUACAAGGAAUAGUUAUAUUCUGAGAAUAUCCAUCUCUACCUGCUCAUUUUCUUAAACUGUUCCAAUACCUGGGCUAACAUUAAAUUAUUAUGUUUUUUAAAUGUGUUUAUGAAUUCAUUAUGCCAAAUAAAUAAAUAUAUGUUUAUUAAGAACUGCUUUAUACUGCUAUUUCAAAAAAAAAGCUUUCUCCCAUGUAACUAUAUUUUUAAAAUGAAAAUUCUGAAUUAGUUUGAUUUUUCAAGACUAGAGGGAGUUUCUAGCCAGAGAAAGGGAGCAAAUUUAUGAAAUGUAUUUGGUAUCAGGAACUGUGUCAUCUAAAUUUGUUAGUUUUUUGUCUUUUUUUAAAUUAUUAUUAUUGUUUUAGGGCCACACCUGAGGCAUAUUGAGGUUCUUAGGCUAGGGGUCAGAUCAAAGCUAUAGCUGCUGCCCUACACCACAGCUCACAGCAAUACCAGAUCCUUAACUCACUGAGUGAGGCCAGGGAUGGAACUUUCAUUUUCAUGGAUGCUAAUCAGAUUCAUUUCUACUGAGCCACAAAGGGAACUCUUUAAUUGGUUAUUUAGUCUUUAAAACAACCCAUGAACUAAAUAAUAUUAUCCUAUUUUAUAAAUAACAAAAACUGAGGCUCUGAACAUGGAGAAAUCAUGUCUAAAAUCAUACAGCUAAUGUGUGGCAGGACAUUCAGGGACAUCAGAUGCCAAAACUGUGAGAUGCUGGGCUACGACACUACAGAAUUUCAGAGAUAAUACAUUGAUUAAGGUGCUGAUCAGGGAAGUGGGCAGCCAAAGUAUCUU